GGAAUAUUGGACAAUGGGCGCAAGCCUGAUCCAGCAACGCCGCGUGGAGGACGAAGGUCUUCGGAUCGUAAACUCCUGUCAGACGGGACGAAGGUGCCUGGGCAAAUAGUCCCGGUGCUUGACCGUACUGUCAGAGGCAGCCCCGGCUACCUCCGUGCCAGCCGCCGCGGUAAUACGGAGGGGGCGAGCGUUAUUCGGAAUUAUUGGGCGUAAAGGGCGCGUAGGCGGCCCGGCAAGUCAAAGGUGAAAUCCCUCGGCUCAACUGAGGAACUGCCUUUGAAACUGCCCGGCUUGAGUCCGGGAGGGGGUAGCGGAAUUCCCAGUGUAGCGGUGAAAUGCGUAGAUAUUGGGAGGAACACCAGUGGCGAAGGCGGCUACCUGGACCGGAACUGACGCUGAUGCGCGAAAGCGUGGGUAGCAAAC
RNAcentral lists this ribosomal RNA (423 nucleotides) under uncultured bacterium. Its description in RNAcentral is "bacterial SSU rRNA". It matches the Rfam family "Bacterial small subunit ribosomal RNA", at positions 358 to 773 of the family's 1533-position model. The record is from RNAcentral.